This 488-nucleotide ribosomal RNA is filed under the name Dietzia papillomatosis. Its description in RNAcentral is "bacterial SSU rRNA". It matches the Rfam family "Bacterial small subunit ribosomal RNA", at positions 380 to 879 of the family's 1533-position model. Lineage: Bacteria; Bacillati; Actinomycetota; Actinomycetes; Mycobacteriales; Dietziaceae. The record is from RNAcentral.
AGCCUGAUGCAGCGACGCCGCGUGGGGGAUGACGGUCUUCGGAUUGUAAACCCCUUUCAGUAGGGACGAAGCGCAAGUGACGGUACCUGCAGAAGAAGCACCGGCCAACUACGUGCCAGCAGCCGCGGUAAUACGUAGGGUGCGAGCGUUGUCCGGAAUUACUGGGCGUAAAGAGCUCGUAGGCGGUUUGUCGCGUCGUCCGUGAAAACUCGGAGCUUAACUCCGAGCUUGCGGGCGAUACGGGCAGACUUGAGUACUACAGGGGAGACUGGAAUUCCUGGUGUAGCGGUGAAAUGCGCAGAUAUCAGGAGGAACACCGGUGGCGAAGGCGGGUCUCUGGGUAGUAACUGACGCUGAGGAGCGAAAGCAUGGGUAGCGAACAGGAUUAGAUACCCUGGUAGUCCAUGCCGUAAACGGUGGGCGCUAGGUGUGGGGUCCUUCCACGGAUUCCGUGCCGUAGCUAACGCAUUAAGCGCCCCGCCUGGGGA